AAAAUUUUAAUAAAGUCUAUUCUAAUUUUUAUAUAUCGUAAGUAAUAUCAAAAGUUUAUUGUGAAUAUCUCUUGUGAAGACUAAGAAGAAAGAAAGAAAUAAAAAAGGAUUAAUUUAUCAUUCGUUUAUUAAUUUACUUCAAAAAAAUAUCCAUACUACGUGAAAUAACAUUCUGAGAAAUGGAUGGACGAUAGAAUGAAAUUAUUUAAUGUUCUUCAGUACUUAGUUAUAGUAACAAUUAGUCAUCCUAUUAUCAUUUACAAAGUAUAUUGAGCAACAAGAAUGUAUAGUACUUACAUUUCGAUAAACAGUUAAAUCAACAAUGAAAAUCGCAUUUAUCGCGACUAAUCGAUAUUUAUGAAUUAUUUAAAUUUUUAGAAAAAUCACUGUACUAAUUAGAACACUGUAUAACGCGUAUUAUAAACUUAUUGAUCGACAAA
This is a long non-coding RNA of Apis dorsata (giant honeybee), 440 nucleotides long. RefSeq lists it as uncharacterized. Lineage: Eukaryota; Metazoa; Arthropoda; Insecta; Hymenoptera; Apidae. The record is from RefSeq and is a predicted model, not a curated record. The transcript is spliced from 2 exons.